AAUUUAGUUUUUACACUCUUAAAGUUAUAUUACUUGGUCGUAUAUAUUAAUUUUAUCUUUCAUUCGAUGUUCAAUUUCAUCAUAAAAUUUGAAACUUCAAACUAAAAUCUUAAAUUAUUCUUGAUCUGAUGUUGAAUUGAAUGAUUUUGUAUGGCAUAAAAAUAAAGGUAUUUUAGAAUACCUCAUUUGAGUGAGAUAAUUUCCAUUUCUUUCAUUUCCUUACCAGCCCUCGAACCUUGUUCUUGAAGAUUAAAGUCAAGCACUCAACCUCUGAAGACAAGAAG
Molecule: long non-coding RNA, 284 nt
Filed under: Durio zibethinus
Lineage: Eukaryota; Viridiplantae; Streptophyta; Magnoliopsida; Malvales; Malvaceae
Description: long non-coding RNA (DZIB_LNC001477)
Source: RNAcentral